UCCAGGCGUCAGAGAUGAAUGCCGAGGUCGUCUACGCUCACGUGAAACAACUUUUUAUAGCUCUCUGCUCAAUUAUACAGCUAAUGUACGUAUACAUUCCUCCUUGAAUAGAAGAAGUAAUCAACAGUUUUUAAAGCCUGGAUGUCGAGUCGAAGCUCGCUACAACGUCGCUAGCUUGUUAGCGUUUAACUUCAAUGAAACCAACACGUGGUGGAGGAGCAUGGUCUCGAUAAGAACCAGGACUUAGAAGGACCAGACUUACGACGGGUGAAUUCUUCCCCACUUGCUUUCAAACAAAGACGAGGAGAGUUCAAAGGUGCCAUGUAUGGAACAUCUGUGGAAAGGAGAUUGAUACAGGUAAAAUGCAGGUGUUUGAGUGAAUGACUCUUAAGGAAAACUAUUUAGAAACAAGGUUGUUGCACACACAAACUGUGCUUGCAUCAUAAUGCUAACGUCCAAUUUGACUUCUGCCUGCAAGACUUUUUCUUCAAGUUUUCAAGGAAGAUCUGCUGCUCUUCAAGGUAGUCAUGGUCCUGUGUGCAUAAGUAACUCAAUUUAGUGGACCAGUCAAAUGAAAUGCAUACAUAUUUUCCUAAUGUUGGUACUUUAAUGUGAAAUUUGUAAUAAACAUUGAAGCAUCAGCA
Molecule: long non-coding RNA, 644 nt
Organism: Corythoichthys intestinalis (scribbled pipefish)
Lineage: Eukaryota; Metazoa; Chordata; Actinopteri; Syngnathiformes; Syngnathidae
Exons: 4
Source: RefSeq, a predicted model, not a curated record